Molecule: long non-coding RNA, 135 nt
Organism: Strigops habroptila (Kakapo)
Lineage: Eukaryota; Metazoa; Chordata; Aves; Psittaciformes; Psittacidae
Exons: 4
Source: RefSeq, a predicted model, not a curated record
GACAUCCUUGUCUCUAGAUUGGAGAGACAUCAAUUUGAUAGAUGGACCACUCAGUGGAUAAAGAACUGGCUCGAAGGCCGCACGCAAAGAAUUGUGGUAAACGGCUCGAUAGUAUCCAACCAGAGAUUGGAAAUG